Molecule: non-coding RNA, 55 nt
Filed under: Papio hamadryas (hamadryas baboon)
Lineage: Eukaryota; Metazoa; Chordata; Mammalia; Primates; Cercopithecidae
Source: RNAcentral
UCAUCGGCUGAGAAGGUGUGGGGAUCAUAUCUUUCCUCCUAAUCAGCUGAUGACA